RNAcentral lists this ribosomal RNA (492 nucleotides) under uncultured bacterium. RNAcentral describes it as "partial 16S ribosomal RNA". It matches the Rfam family "Bacterial small subunit ribosomal RNA", at positions 29 to 507 of the family's 1533-position model. The record is from RNAcentral.
AGUGAACGCUGGCGGUAGGCCUAACACAUACAAGUCGAACGGCAGCACAGUAAGAGCUUGCUCUUACGGGUGGCGAGUGGCGGACGGGUGAGGAAUACAUCGGAAUCUACUUUUUCGUGGGGGAUAACGUAGGGAAACUUACGCUAAUACCGCAUACGACCUACGGGUGAAAGCAGGGGAUCUUCGGACCUUGCGCGAUUGAAUGAGCCGAUGUCGGAUUAGCUAGUUGGCGGGGUAAAGGCCCACCAAGGCGACGAUCCGUAGCUGGUCUGAGAGGAUGAUCAGCCACACUGGAACUGAGACACGGUCCAGACUCCUACGGGAGGCAGCAGUGGGGAAUAUUGGACAAAGGGCGCAAGCCUGAUCCAGCCAUACCGCGUGGGUGAAGAAGGCCUUCGGGUUGUAAAGCCCUUUUGUUGGGAAAGAAAAGCAGCAGGUUAAUACCCCGCUGUUCUGACGGUACCCAAAGAAUAAGCAUCGGCUAACUUCGUG